CCCCUCUCAGGAUUACAACUGUAGAGUUUCCAGUAUUCUACCAGUCUUGGCUAUGGGAGGGAGAAUCAAGCACAGAGGCAUACCCAUUCCAUUCCUAGUUUUGUCAAUGGCUAGCGAAUGGAAAGCAAUCUGCUACAAGU
Non-coding RNA from Ornithorhynchus anatinus (platypus), 140 nucleotides. NCBI's taxonomy places the organism in Eukaryota, Metazoa, Chordata, Mammalia, Monotremata, Ornithorhynchidae. The record is from Rfam.